GGUCCCCCUGGCCUGAGCAUCCCAGGGCCAGCUGGCCCCAAAGGCGAGCAGGGCGAUCGGGUGAGUCUGGGGGCACCCUGGGGACACCAGCUCAUGGCCCUGCUCCCUCUCCUGCCAAGGGGUCACCGAGGUUCCCAGUGACACCUGCUCUUCCUCUCCAACAACCAGGGUAUCGCUGGCCUCCCAGGCAGGAGUGGCCCAAAGGUGAUGUCACUGCCCUUCCAUCCAUCCGUCCAUCCAUCCCUCUGGCUGGCUGGCUCUAGAGGGGCUGCUCCUGCAGGCUGUGCCCCUUCUCUGCCCAGCUGCCCAGACCCUGCCCUGACUGUUGCCCCUUCUCUUGCCUAGGGUGACCCAGGAGAGCCCGGGGAGAAGGGGGAGCCGGGCCGAGCAGGCAGCCCCGGGCAGAUGGGGCUGCGAGGCAAGGAGGUAGUGUGGUACAAGGGGCUGUGGGGCACCGCGGCCCUGAGGAGAGGCGGGGCUGGCAGGGAGCAGGGGGAUGCUGGUCACUUGUACUUUUCUCUCCUGGCCGGUGCCCACUGAUUUGUGCCUCAGGGAGAGCGAGGAGAGAAAGGUGACGAAGGCACCCCGGUAAGUGAGGGUCCCCAGGACCACUGCCCCCCUUCCCACUGCCUCUGAUCCCACUGCCCCCCACUCACCCCCUCCUUCCCCACAGGGUGAAGCGGGUCUGCCUGGCAAGCCUGGAGACAGGGGUCCCCGGGUAAGUGCAGGGCUGCUGGGCACCCCGGGGCAGGAGAGAGACUUGUGGCCUCGGGGUGGCUCCUGCUAAUGCACAUCUUCCCUUUGCCCUCCACCCAGGGCCUUCCUGGCUACCGUGGCCCCCCCGGGGAGAAGGGCGACUUGGGGGACCCAGGACCUGAAGGCAGGAAUGGCAGCCCUGGAGCACCAGGGAGCAAGGGUGACCGUGGGGACCCAGUGAGUGAUGGCAGGGCCACAUGUGGCCCCCCACCCCAGAGCCAGCUGUGCCCUCCCCAGGGCUGUGCCAGCUCGCCUUAAUCUGCUUCCCUUGCCCUUCUUUCAGGGGCCUCCCGGACCCCCAGGACGAACUGUAAGUUCUGCCUCCCUUCUCCCUGCCCAUGGGCUGGUGUCCAGCCCCGUGUGCUCCAACAGCUCCUCUCUGCCCCACAGGUCGAUGUUGGGCUCGGAGGAGUGGGGGGAAAGGGUGAGAAGGGGGACCCUGGGGACCCAGGUGAGGACGGUGCCAAGGGUGCCCGGGGUGAUGCUGGCUCCCCUGGACUGCCUGGAGAGAGGGGUGUGGAGGGCCCCCGUGGCCCCCCUGGCACACGGGUAA
This 1309-nucleotide long non-coding RNA is filed under the name Taeniopygia guttata (zebra finch). RNAcentral's name for it is "lncRNA (ENSTGUG00000027309.1)". The record is from RNAcentral. Lineage: Eukaryota; Metazoa; Chordata; Aves; Passeriformes; Estrildidae.